UUAAUGUUUUAGACCGAAGCCGGAUCGGACUCGUUUACGGCUAUCUACCCUCAGACAGUCAGACCCCGGCCCCUGAUUCCGUUUGAUUUUGGCUUCAAAACCUUGAUCUUCCCCCCAGAUUCCUCGAUCAUGGCUUUCGUCUAAGUCUUGUUUGAGUUAUUUCAAUCUUUCUCCAGAACCCAUAAACACCCUCUCGUUGAUUUCACAAGGUCCAACGGGAAUCUUAUCGUCCUUUUUGCCUUACUUGGAUUUUGUACUUGUCUCUGGUGAUUUCGACUCUUUGUUGGGUGUUUGUCGUCUGAAAUUCUCUUGGGUUUUCGUACUAUCGAUCGGCAUGUUGGUUGGCGCCUUAAGAGCUGUAACUGUUGCCGGAGCCUUAGAAUAUUCACAUAUAGCUAACAAACAAAGUAAUGAAGGAGUCACAGUGGCUAUUUGGGGAGAGCAUGGACUGGAAUUUGAUCUUGACAGAGUAUUGAGUUACCACCUCCAGUUUUUAUAGUUGCCACUGGCGUCAGGACAUAUAUCAAAGUAUGAAGAAAUAACAGUUCCUUCAAUUAGAUCACCUCGAAUUCUUAUAGUGGCGACCUCCGUGAUCU
Long non-coding RNA from Argentina anserina (silverweed cinquefoil), 596 nucleotides. RefSeq lists it as uncharacterized. The record is from RefSeq and is a predicted model, not a curated record. The transcript is spliced from 3 exons. NCBI's taxonomy places the organism in Eukaryota, Viridiplantae, Streptophyta, Magnoliopsida, Rosales, Rosaceae.